CCAAUAGCGUAUAUUAAAGUUGUUGCAGUUAAAAAGCUCGUAGUUGAAUUUCGAGAUCAAAUUGUUGGUCGUGCCUCGGUACGUACUGGCAUUAUUGAUUUCUCCUUUCUGAAGAACCUUGAUGUCAUUAAUUUGGUGUCUUGGGGAAUCAGGACCGUUACUUUGAAAAAAUUAGAGUGUUUAAAGCAGGCUCGCGCUUGAAUACAUUAGCAUGGAAUAAUGAAAUAGGACGUUUGAUUCUAUUUUGUUGGUUUCUAGGAUCGACGUAAUGAUUAAUAGGGAUAGUUGGGGCAUUAGUAUUCAAUUGUCAGAGGUGAAAUUCUUGGAUUUAUUGAAGACUAACUACUGCGAAAGCAUUUGCCAAGGAUGUUUUCAUUAAUCAAGAACGAAAGUUAGGGGAUCGAAGACGAUCAGAUACCGUCGUAGUCUUAACCAUAAACUAUGCCGACUAGGGAUCGGAUGAUGUUAAUUUUUUAAUGACUCAUUCGGCGCCUUACG
RNAcentral lists this ribosomal RNA (498 nucleotides) under uncultured Glomeromycotina. Its description in RNAcentral is "partial small subunit ribosomal RNA". It matches the Rfam family "Eukaryotic small subunit ribosomal RNA", at positions 591 to 1092 of the family's 1831-position model. The record is from RNAcentral. Lineage: Eukaryota; Fungi; Glomeromycota.